AGNAAGNGAAAGANCGCCUGUUUAACAAAAACAUCACCUCUAGCAUCNCCAGUAUUAGAGGCANNNNCGCCUGUUUUNACAAAAACAUCUCCUUUUGAUUAUUAUUUAAGGUUUAAUCUGCUCAAUGAAUAUUAAAUUGCCGCGGUAUUUUGACCGUGCAAAGGUAGCAUAAUAAUUAGUUUCUUGAUUAGAAGCUUGAAUGAAUGAUUGGACGAGAAAAUUACUGUCUCUGUUUAAUUUAUUUUUGAAUUUUAUUUUUAAGUUAAAAAGCUUAAAUUUUAAUAAAAGACGAGAAGACCCUAUAGAGUUUGAUAUUUAGAAUUUAUUUAAUAUUAGAAAUUUUUUUAAAUUUUAUUUAUUUAGUUGGGGUGACUGGAGGAUUAAUAAAAUUCCUUUUUAUUUUAAUUGAUGAUUAUUAAAUUUGUUAUCUGAUUUUUUCAAAUAAAAAAUAAAUUACCUUAGGGAUAACAGCGUAAUUUUUCUUUAGAGUUCUUAUUGAAAGAAGAUUUUGCGACCUCGAUGUUGGAUUAAAAUAAAUUUUUGGUGUAGAAGCUAAAAAAUUAGGUCUGUUCGACCUUUAAUAUUUUACAUGAUCUGAGNUCAGACCGGNGNUUGUUCAACNAUUAAAGUCCUACAUGAUCUGAGUUCAGACCGGUCNUCUGUCAAUCCCUUCCG
Molecule: ribosomal RNA, 675 nt
Filed under: Thonalmus sp. 2 VSF-2020
Lineage: Eukaryota; Metazoa; Arthropoda; Insecta; Coleoptera; Lycidae
Description: partial large subunit ribosomal RNA
Rfam family: Archaeal large subunit ribosomal RNA
Source: RNAcentral